CGACCGCUGGCGGCGUGCCUAAUACAUGCAAGUCGAGCGGACGAAUCGAAAGCUUGCUUUUGAUUCGUUAGCGGCGGACGGGUGAGUAACACGUGGGCAACCUGCCCUGUAGACGGGGAUAACACCGAGAAAUCGGUGCUAAUACCGGAUAACACGAAAUGUCGCAUGACGUUUCGUUGAAAGACGGCGCAAGCUGUCGCUACAGGAUGGGCCCGCGGCGCAUUAGCUAGUUGGUGAGGUAACGGCUCACCAAGGCGACGAUGCGUAGCCGACCUGAGAGGGUGAUCGGCCACACUGGGACUGAGACACGGCCCAGACUCCUACGGGAGGCAGCAGUAGGGAAUCUUCCGCAAUGGACGAAAGUCUGACGGAGCAACGCCGCGUGAGCGAAGAAGGCCUUCGGGUCGUAAAGCUCUGUUGUUAGGGAAGAACAAGUAACGCAGUAACUGGCGUUACCGUGACGGUACCUAACGAGAAAGCCACGGCUAACUACGUG
RNAcentral lists this ribosomal RNA (496 nucleotides) under uncultured bacterium. RNAcentral describes it as "partial 16S ribosomal RNA". It matches the Rfam family "Bacterial small subunit ribosomal RNA", at positions 30 to 507 of the family's 1533-position model. The record is from RNAcentral.